GCCGGACUGCCGGCCCCGUCUUCGCCCCGCUGCGCUCGGCUGCGUUUCAGCGCAGUCCCGGACGCUGACCCGGGGACAACAAACAGCGCUCCUUAUUAGAGAUGCGAACUCUCGGGGAAGAACCGAACCGCCUAGAAAAGCAAGCGCGCAGGCAUCGGAACAAGUGGCCAGACCUUCUGCACUGCCUGUGAAAGUGACCUGUAAAAUACCACGGAGGGCUUUGCUCUCAAAGCACCAGAUUUCAGAGUACAGGUUUUAUCAGAACGUGACGGUGGAAGCUGUUCUUAUUAUUUAUUUGGCUUUGCCUCUGGAGAUCGGGCGGUGUUGUUGCUCCCUGCCCGCGCGUGGGUGCAAAUCCCUCCCCAGCCAACUCUUAGAUGUCAAAGCCCCAUGGUGGGGGGGACAGACUUGUAGGUAUCUGCAUACUCUGAUACCGUUAUUUCGGGUCCUUCAAGAAUUAAAAACACGCCUCCCUUUUAGGGAGUGACAACUUGGACUUCAGUGGGCGAUGCGAUUUUAACAGGCGCAGCCAGGUGCAAAUGUUAUAUGCUUCUGCAUCAUGCAUUUCCUGAUUCUGAGCAAAGAUUUGAAAAAGGAAGAAUGCAGCUCUUUUGGACAGAGAAGCUUGCCUCUGCCCCCCAACAUUUUGCGGAAGGAGCAUUCUGCAGAAAAGCUGCAGGGUGCAGCUAUGGUUCCAUAAGUGUCCCAUCCCAUGUGCCGCAGGGGAGGAGCAGACCCCUCUGGAGAGGUGAGCCAGGCUGGGAGGAGCAGCACCAGCGAGAUACAGAUGGGCGCUGACUCUUGCCUCGGGGAGGGGAGACCUUGUGUAGGAGGCCAUUUGGGGGGCAGGGGAGUGCAGAAUUCAUAUGUUGGGGUGUUAUCCCCCAGCACCUCUGGAUGUGACUGUAUUUGAAGACAGGCCCUUUAAAGGGAUAACUAGGUUAGAGUGAGGCAGACUCAAGCUCAGGGUCCUUAUAAGAAAAGUUUAGGAGGCAGACAUGUCCAGAGGGGCGACCAUGUGAAGGGAGGCAGAGAAGGCAGCCAUUUACAAGCCAAGAGCAAAGCCUUGGAAGAAACCAGACUUCCUGAUAUGUUGUUCUCAGAUGAGAGCCUGCAGGAUUGUGAGAAAAUAACUUUCCUUCAUGUAAGCUACCCAGUUUGUGGCAUUUUGUUAUGGAAACUCCAACCAAUGAACGGAAGUUACUAUUUGGAACCAACCAAUUUUGGGGGGCCAUUUGAACACACAAAUCUUAGGUCACCAGGUUUUCUAGUUUAAGGAUUUUUUUUCUCCUUAACUAUUGCAGCAGAGCUAGCUAACUUCACCAGUGUGUCACACAUGGGAUCCCAUACUUCAAAGUGGCUUGUGUUUCUGGCCUCUCUCUCUCUCUCUGCUCUGUAACAGAGAGUGAAUCCAGGAGUCCCCAAGCAACUAACAUUCCCAGACCAUUUUUUAAACUUAUUUUUGAGUCAGGGCUUACAGAGCUGAACAGUCUGGCCUGAAAGUUGUGAUUCUCUUGUCUCAGCUUUCUACAAAACUGAGAUUACAGGUUUGUUUUAAUACUCUACUAUUAUCUCGACUUUUUUUUUUUUUUUUUUUUUUUUUUUUUUUUUUUUUUUUGUACCAAGGAUCAAACUCAGGUCCAUGUGCAGCGGAACCACUGAGCUAAAUCUGCAGCCCUUGACAUUCUUAAAUUUUCAAAAAGGGACUUGCUCUUUCAUGUUGCGCUGAUUGCCAAUAACAAAACCAGCCCUGGUUGACCAAGAACAUAAAAUUUAAAUAUGGUGUUAUGAUUUGUAUCUAAAUGUCCCCCAAAGCCUUGUGCACUUAGAGGCAGAGAUUUUGGAAGAUGACUGGAUUAUGGGGUGAUGUAGCUGACUUGCUGUUAGGAAGUGGCUCUGGUCAGAAGGGGCAGUCCCUAAAAGCACAACCUGGAACGGUGCAUCUCCCUCCUGUACCCCUUUUUUCUCUCUCUGUUUCCUGUCCACCAAGGAGUGGCAUCUUUCCUUCAUCCAGGCCCUUCCACCAUGCCAG
Molecule: long non-coding RNA, 2032 nt
Filed under: Fukomys damarensis (Damara mole-rat)
Lineage: Eukaryota; Metazoa; Chordata; Mammalia; Rodentia; Bathyergidae
Description: lncRNA (ENSFDAG00000024438.1)
Source: RNAcentral